GUCAAUAGAUAAGUAGAUUAUAGGUCAAAGCCCAACAUUACAAAAAACACUAAACACAUACACCCAGGCCCAAGGCCCACCAAACGCAACCCUAGAGAAACCAAAGGCGGCGCCUCCGCUUCGAUCACGGCCUCCACCGCUUCCAGCCAUCACCGGUGAUCCAAUCGACGAUCCACCGGGAUACACCAUCAGUCGCUGACUUCACACUCUCUUAGCCGCAAACGCUUACAACCCCGAGCUCACCACAGUGGAGAGAUGCAAUCGGCAUACCGAGAUCUCAUCCGUCUCUUUUCAUCAUCGGAGCUGGGAGUAAAGCUUCGCCGACCCAUCAACCUUCAACACCCGAUAGCAUCGAUCGUCUUCCGACGAGAGCUCCUCAAACGAGACAUUAACGAAACAGCAAACAGACAAAGAUAAAAUCAAACCCUUAAAGCGUAGAGAAACCAAAAGCCGGCGAGGCAAGGCAAAGUCCGCCUUCACCACCCAGAACCUGAAGCCGGCGAACGCAGAGCUGAAGAAGCCUCCACUCCCCGGGUUUGAAUCUUUCGUACACCAGUUAGGCCCAUUCUUCCAACAUACAGCCAUCAUAUUACCAACAAUCCUAGGGCCCUUAAUACCAAUAUACAUAAACUUAUUAUUAACUAAGCACCUACGGUUCACUCUAAAAUAUGCAUGAGGAUUUUUUUUUUUUUUUAACUGGCUUUCAUAUUGAAAUAAAGAAAAAAAAAUACAGAGAUUACAAAGAAGAAACAAAAGAAGAAAAAAAAAAAAUACAACUUAAAACUAAAAGGAAAACAUGACAACACAAUCCGAAUAUAUUCAACCCGAGAUGGGGAUAACAGUGGCUCACAAGUAAGAAGCAAGUAAAAUAGGUACGACAUACAAUGGCAGCUUUUAGAUGGUUUGACUACACAGGCAAGUAGCGUUAGCAAACUCCGGGUCUUACAUCCUAUUCACCAACCAAUUGCUGUUAAUCCAAAGAGGAGCCGGAGCAUCCUGACUUGCUUCCAAACAAGUACUACCACUGACAAUUAAGCGCAGGGAAGGUGAGGAGCAACAAACCUGUACGCACGCAACACCAAACGCCGAAAGAACGGGAUGAAAAGGAGGCAGCUAGAUCAAAGAAACAACGGGACCUGCACUGAAAGGAAAAGAACCAAAUCUGCCGCGGUAAAUCAAAAGAACCACCACGGCACUUGAUACAAGCCUAAGCUAUCAAAGGCUGUACGUUCCCAAGCAAGAGAGAGAAGGAGCCGAUCUAACACAAGGGUGAUCCGGAUGGACUGAUCUAAUCAACCAAGGGAUCUGAACUGGAACUGUAUGAUGGGAUGAAGUGCACCACACGAGAGAUGGGAGGCUCGUGAUACAACACAAGGUUCCUCUAGGCCGUGGAGGUGCUGGUCUCACAAGGCAAAGAGAAGGAGGCGAGUUCUAGCUUGAGAGCUCUAGGGUUUUCUUUAGAAGAAAAGUUUAUGAUUAUUCAAAGUCUGCCCCAAAAGUGGGCUUGCGAAAACAUAUAAAUAGGACUAAGGGAACAGGCUCCACUUAAGUCACGAAAGUACAAAUAAGGAAACAAACUAUAAUGUAAAACAUGAAAUAAGGUCAUGAGGCUUCUUAGCCUUGGAUCGAACUUGGCACUUAGGAUAAGUGUGAAGCAAGUUGUGGCCUCGUUAAAAACCUUCCCUGGAAAACCCAUUUGGGACAAAACCAAGAGUAAGGGAAAAAGAGCACACACAAAGAGCUUGGCCUAGCUGCUAGAUUCGUCCAAGAGACUUGCUAGGCAAGUUGAUCUUCCAUGGUAAUGAUCAUCAGGUUGGUGUGGCAUUGCUCCGGGAUGAGUGGCCACAUAUCCUCACUUGAUGCUUGCUUCUCCUUAACCGGUUCUGCACCCUUUAGUUCAUCUUGCUUCAAGCUUGGUUCAUCAGCCAGUUUAACCUGUCCAAGAUCAGAAGCAAGUAUCAUGCUCUCAUUAAAUUUAUGUUGAAGAACCUUAGCUCUUUGUCUAGUGAUAGCUCCCUUGAAUACGGUUGGUACUGGCACUUCUUGGACUGGCUCUGAUUUGGUUAUGUUGCUGAUCAUGUCCUGGAUAUCAGGUUCAGUUAAGUCUGGUUCCGGCUCUGGUUGAAUGUCCUCAUCAUUCCCUCCCUCUUCAAAAGGUUUUGACCUCAAAACUGGUUCAUCUGCAAAACAAGGAGAUAGAUCAGUAACAUUGAAAGUAGAAGACACAUUCAACUCACCUGGCAGAUCAAGACGGUAGGCAUUGUUGUUGAUCCUCUCAACAACUUGAAAUGGGCCGUCCCAUCUUGGCUUCAGCUUGGAACUUCUCUGGUUAGGAAACCUUUCUUGCCGCAUGUGUAACCAAACCCACUCCCCUGGUUCAAAUACAAUGUCCUUGCGGCCCUUGUUGGCAUGUUUAGUGUACUGCUCAGUCCUCUUCUCUAAAUUCUCUUGAACCUUCUGAUGGAGUUCUUUGACAUAAGCAGCUUUAGCUUCCCCGGUAAGACUGACAACUUCAGCUGGAGGUAAUGGUUUAAGAUCCAAAGGGGUUUUCGGGUUGAACCCAUAGGCUGCCUCAAAGGGGGACAUCUUAGUGGCUGAAUGCUGAGCUCGGUUGUAUGCAAAUUCGAUGAAUGGAAUACAAUCAACCCAAUUCUUCAUGUUCUUCCCAAUGGUUGCCCUAAGCAGCGUAGAGAGCGUCCUGUUGACAACUUCAGUCUGCCCAUCAGUUUGGGGAUGGCAAAAUGCACGUUUGAAUCAUAUAGUAACAGUAUGAAAAACCAAUGAUACACCAAAGAGUCUCCAAUAGCUUUCUCUUAUAUUGACUCCAGUUUUCCAUAUAUUCCAAUACCAAAUAUCUCACAAUUAACCCGUAUCUCCUUGAUUUGAGAGUCCCCGAUCUGGAUCCCCAAAGAUACCACAACACCCAAUCCCCGAUAAGGUAAAGCAAAUCAAUCCCUAUUAGAUGGAAAAGGGAAAUUAAAUAAUCGCAAUCUAGAUUACAACCUGUAAAGAUAUUGCGAUCCAUCUUGAUAGCCCCUGAUAUCCCUCGCAUUUGAUCUCGAAACUGCAGUAUCCAUAAUAUCUCGAAGAUCUCCUUCCUAAUUCCCAUGACGAUCCCCAAACCAUCCCUUCGCAACCCUUGAAUCCCACCAUCCGUUAAUUGAUCAUGAAAGAUCAAAUCAGCCCGAUCCCCAUCUCUAAUUCCCGGAUCCCAUCUUUUUGAAAUCAUGGAACCCGUGCUUUAAUGUAGAAUGUGUUUAGAAAUUUUAAAAAACAACAACAACAUGAUAAUUGAUGAUAUCAUUUUUAUUACUUGUUUUUAUAUUCUUGAAGUGAGAUACUAUAUUUAUAUUUAUAUAUAUAUGUGGUGAAAUACAUAUAUGCCGAAGUUUCUUCACUAUAGAAGUGGCCCUCAGAUCCCAUUAAUACACGAAACCCAUGUCUGUUUUUUCCAUCACCCAAAAUGAAAUGGCAUGUAAAAUUAAUUUGUAAUCCUAGAGAAACUCCGCUAAUUAAGGUAAUUUCCAUUUGAUAAAAAUGUUCAUUUUAUUAAUCACCUGUAACGAUAAUUCAUCGACAUUUUUAAAUAAUUAGAUCUCUUUAAAAAUGUUUCAAGUGUUGCGUGGAGUCAGGCCUUUUCUUUGCCCGUUUUCAAAACAUUCUACAAGAAAUAUUAAAGAAAGAACUGGCCAGCAAAAAAGAAAGAGUAAAAUAGUUUGAUGGCUUCUCUCAAAUCCUUACCACAAUCGUAGAUCAUAGAUGGUAUAGCGCUAACAUCAAUACUAGUGAUGGAUAAAUUGACAAAUAGUGCGGUAAUUUUUACGACUGCGAGGGAGACACAUGCUAGUUUUUUUUUUUUUUUCCGUCAAUAGAUAAGUAGAUUAUAGGUCAAAGCCCAACAUUACAAAAAACACUAAACACAUACACCCAGGCCCAAGGCCCACCAAACGCAACCCUAGAGAAACCAAAGGCGGCGCCUCCGCUUCGAUCACGGCCUCCACCGCUUCCAGCCAUCACCGGUGAUCCAAUCGACGAUCCACCGGGAUACACCAUCAGUCGCUGACUUCACACUCUCUUAGCCGCAAACGCUUACAACCCCGAGCUCACCACAGUGGAGAGAUGCAAUCGGCAUACCGAGAUCUCAUCCGUCUCUUUUCAUCAUCGGAGCUGGGAGUAAAGCUUCGCCGACCCAUCAACCUUCAACACCCGAUAGCAUCGAUCGUCUUCCGACGAGAGCUCCUCAAACGAGACAUUAACGAAACAGCAAACAGACAAAGAUAAAAUCAAACCCUUAAAGCGUAGAGAAACCAAAAGCCGGCGAGGCAAGGCAAAGUCCGCCUUCACCACCCAGAACCUGAAGCCGGCGAACGCAGAGCUGAAGAAGCCUCCACUCCCCGGGAACUAGAUCGGCGGCGAUGGAUCUGUAGAAGCCUCCACCUCCCGGAAAAACCUUAAUCAGACGAACCGACUUCACCACACCUCACCCUUUACCCGAUCGCGCCGUUACUCCAGUUCCCGCGCCACCGCGUAUGUCUGUUCACUCCGCGAGUUAACGACGGCGGGUGGGACGUGGACCAGAGCUUCGACAAGGCAAACAGAGAGAGGAGGUAAAGGAGAAGCCGGGGAACUUUUCUAAUUGGAAGAAUAUGGGCUCCGGCGACGGCACAGACGCUCACGCGCCGACCGUACGCCGGACCCAAACAGAUCUGCUUUUUGACCCACGAGCUUGUUCUCUUUCUCUGGUUGGUCUGUUUUUUCUCUGCGAUAAAUAUACACAUGCUAG
RNAcentral lists this long non-coding RNA (4783 nucleotides) under Brassica napus (rape). RNAcentral describes it as "long non-coding RNA (BNAP_LNC013589)". Lineage: Eukaryota; Viridiplantae; Streptophyta; Magnoliopsida; Brassicales; Brassicaceae. The record is from RNAcentral.